GCGAACGCUGGCGGCAGGCCUAACACCUGCAAGUCGAACGAACUCUUCGGAGUUAGUGGCGGACGGGUGAGUCACACGUGGGAACGUGCCUUUUGGUUCGGAAUAACUCAGGGAAACUUGUGCUAAUACCGAAUGUGCCCUUCGGGGGAAAGAUUUAUCGCCAUUAGAGCGGCCCGCGUCUGAUUAGCUAGUUGGUGAGGUAACGGCUCACCAAGGCGACGAUCAGUAGCUGGUCUGAGAGGAUGACCAGCCACACUGGGACUGAGACACGGCCCAGGCUCCUACGGGAGGCAGCAGUGGGGAAUCUUGCGCAAUGGGCGAAAGCCUGACGCAGCCAUGCCGCGUGAAUGAUGAAGGUCUUAGGAUUGUAAAAUUCUUUCACCGGGGACGAUAAUGACGGUACCCGGAGAAGAAGCCCCGGCUAACUUCGUG
Molecule: ribosomal RNA, 432 nt
Filed under: uncultured bacterium
Lineage: Bacteria
Description: partial 16S ribosomal RNA
Rfam family: Bacterial small subunit ribosomal RNA
Source: RNAcentral